RNAcentral lists this ribosomal RNA (428 nucleotides) under Pseudomonadota bacterium. RNAcentral's name for it is "Proteobacteria bacterium partial 16S ribosomal RNA". It matches the Rfam family "Bacterial small subunit ribosomal RNA", at positions 355 to 776 of the family's 1533-position model. The record is from RNAcentral. Lineage: Bacteria; Pseudomonadati; Pseudomonadota.
UCUAGAGGCUUCGGCAAUGGACGAAAGUCUGACCGAGCGACGCCGCGUGAGCGAUGAAGGCCUUCGGGUCGUAAAGCUCUUUCGACGGGGAAGAAGGCGUUGGAGGCGACCCUCCAGCGAUUGACGGUACCCGUAGAAGAAGCCCCGGCUAACUCCGUGCCAGCAGCCGCGGUAAUACGGAGGGGGCAAGCGUUAUUCGGAAUCAUUGGGCGUAAAGAGUGCGUAGGCGGGGCGCUAUGUCUGGCGUGGAAUUUUUCGGCUCAACCGGAAAAAGCCGGCGGUAACUGGCGGCCUCGAGGAGGGUAGAGGGUGGAGGAAGUCCAGGUGGAGCGGUGGAAUGAGUAGAUAUCUGGAAGAAGAUCUGUGGCGAAGGCGGCUAGCUGGGCGCGUACUGACGCUGAGGAACGAAAGCCAGGGGAGCAAACGGG